GUUACAAGAGCUGCACUGAAUGUU
RNAcentral lists this non-coding RNA (24 nucleotides) under Cricetulus griseus (Chinese hamster). The record is from RNAcentral. Lineage: Eukaryota; Metazoa; Chordata; Mammalia; Rodentia; Cricetidae.